Molecule: ribosomal RNA, 467 nt
Filed under: uncultured bacterium
Lineage: Bacteria
Description: partial 16S ribosomal RNA
Rfam family: Bacterial small subunit ribosomal RNA
Source: RNAcentral
GACGAACGCUGGCGGCGUGCUUAACACAUGCAAGUCGAACGGAAAGGCCCUGCUUUUGUGGGGUGCUCGAGUGGCGAACGGGUGAGUAACACGUGAGUAACCUGCCCUUGACUUUGGGAUAACUUCAGGAAACUGGGGCUAAUACCGGAUAGGAGCUCCUGCUGCAUGGUGGGGGUUGGAAAGUUUCGGCGGUUGGGGAUGGACUCGCGGCUUAUCAGCUUGUUGGUGGGGUAGUGGCUUACCAAGGCUUUGACGGGUAGCCGGCCUGAGAGGGUGACCGGCCACAUUGGGACUGAGAUACGGCCCAGACUCCUACGGGAGGCAGCAGUGGGGAAUAUUGCACAAUGGGCGGAAGCCUGAUGCAGCAACGCCGCGUGCGGGAUGACGGCCGUCGGGUUGUAAACCGCUUUCGCCUGUGACGAAGCGUGAGGGACGGUAAUGGGUAAAGAAGCACCGGCUAACUACGU